This 459-nucleotide ribosomal RNA is filed under the name uncultured bacterium. Its description in RNAcentral is "partial 16S ribosomal RNA". It matches the Rfam family "Bacterial small subunit ribosomal RNA", at positions 338 to 795 of the family's 1533-position model. The record is from RNAcentral.
CCUACGGGAGGCAGCAGUGAGGAAUAUUGGUCAAUGGGCGGAAGCCUGAACCAGCCAAGUAGCGUGCGGGAUGAAGGUACAGAGUAUCGUAAACCUCUUUUGUCAGGGAACAAAGGCGGGGACGUGUCCCCGGAUGAGUGUACCUGAAGAAAAAGCAUCGGCUAACUCCGUGCCAGCAGCCGCGGUAAUACGGAGGAUGCGAGCGUUAUCCGGAUUUAUUGGGUUUAAAGGGUGCGCAGGCGGUCUGUUAAGUCAGCGGUCAAAGCCCGGGGCUCAACCCCGGCCCGCCGUUGAAACUGGCAGUCUCGAGUUGGAGAGAAGUAUGCGGAAGGCGCGGUGUAGCGGUGAAAUGCAUAGAUAUCGCGCAGAACUCCGAUUGCGAAGGCAGCAUGCCGGCUCCACACUGACGCUGAGGCACGAAAGCGUGGGUAUCGAACAGGAUUAGAUACCCGGGUAGUC